RNAcentral lists this ribosomal RNA (239 nucleotides) under uncultured bacterium. RNAcentral's name for it is "partial 16S ribosomal RNA". It matches the Rfam family "Bacterial small subunit ribosomal RNA", at positions 531 to 769 of the family's 1533-position model. The record is from RNAcentral.
GGAGCGAGCGUUGUCCGGAAUUACUGGGUGUAAAGGGAGCGUAGGCGGGGCGGCAAGUCAGAUGUGAAAUACGGCGGCUCAACCGUCGGGGUGCAGUUGAUACUGGACGUCUUGAGUGCACACAAGGAUGCCGGAAUUCAUGGUGUAGCGGUGAAAUGCUCAGAUAUCAUGAAGAACUCCGAUCGCGAAGGCAGGUGUCCGGGGUGCAACUGACGCUGAGGCUCGAAAGUGCGGGUAUC